UGCCUGACUUUUUAACUCUCUUUGUCUGGAUGUCCAUUCUUCUUCUUGAGCAAGUUUAUAAGCCUCAGUUUUCUUGAGCAUUUCUCUAUCACCAAUAAUAUAGUUUUGGACGUCAGCUGGAUCAUCUCUAUUUGAAAUAAAUAGAAGAGGAUUAUCUUCCACCUGUAGUUGAGUAUUUGCCAAAAGUUUGAAAGUGGUCUCUUUUUCUACUUGAGUGCUGCGAACAGGAGAUCUUUUACACAUCUCACUCCAGAUGGUCUCUUCCAAAUCUGCAUGCUGAUUCUUUCCAUUUGACUUAUUAGAA
This 304-nucleotide unclassified non-coding RNA is filed under the name Hevea brasiliensis (rubber tree). Lineage: Eukaryota; Viridiplantae; Streptophyta; Magnoliopsida; Malpighiales; Euphorbiaceae. The record is from RNAcentral.